RNAcentral lists this long non-coding RNA (988 nucleotides) under Homo sapiens (human). RNAcentral describes it as "non-protein coding lnc-ROPN1B-7:4". Lineage: Eukaryota; Metazoa; Chordata; Mammalia; Primates; Hominidae. The record is from RNAcentral.
AUGGCGCCCGAGGAGAACGCUGGGACCUAACUCUUGCUGCAGAGUUUGCAGCGCCGCUUUCUGGCGGCGCGCGCGCUGCGCUCCUUCCCCUGGCAGAGCUUAGAAGCAAAAUUAACAGACUCAUCAGAUUCUGAGCUUCUGCGGGAUAUUUUGCAGAAGACUGUGAAGCAUCCUGUGUGUGUGACGCACCCGCCGUCAGUCAAGUAUGCCCGGUGCUUUCUCUCAGAACUCAUCAAAAAGCACGAGGCUGUCCACACGGAGCCUUUGGACGAGCUGUAUGAGGUGCUGGUGGAGACCCUGAUGGCCAAGGAGUCCACUCAGGGCCACUGGAGCUAUUUGCUGCCCUCAGGAGGCUCAGUCACACUCUCCUAGAGCACAGCCAUCAUCUCCCAGGCAUCACAGGCCUGGUCACAUGGGAUGCUACCCUCUACCUUGCAGAAUGGGCCAUCGAGAACCCGGCAGCCUUCACUCAUAGGACUGUCCUAGAGCUUGGCAGUGGUGCUGGCCUCACAGCCCUGGCCAUCUGCAAGAUGUGCCGCCCCCGGGCAUACAUCUUCAGCGACUGUCACAGCCGGGUCCUCAAACAGCUCCGAGGGAAUGUCCUUCUCAAUGGCCUCUCAUUAGAGGCAGACAUCACUGCCAACUUAGCCCCAGAGUGACAGUGGCCCAGCUGGACUGGGACAUCGCGAUGGUCCAUCAGCUCUCUGCCAUCCAGCCAGAUGUUGUCAUUGCAGCAGACGUGCUGUAUUGCCCAGAAGCCAUCGUGUUGCUGGUCGGGGUCCUGCUGAGGCUGGCUGCCUGCCGGGAGCACCAGCGGGCUCCUGAGGUCUAUGUGGCCUUUACUGUCCGCAACCCAGAGACAUGCCAGCUGUUCACCACCGAGCUAGGCCAGGCCAGGAUCAGAUGGGAAGUGGAACCUCGUCAUGACCAGAAACUGUUUCCCUAUGAAGAGCACUUGGAGAUGGCAAUGCUGAACCUCACACUGUAG